GUAGGGAAUCUUCCACAAUGGACGAAAGUCUGAUGGAGCAACGCCGCGUGAGUGAAGAAGGGUUUCGGCUCGUAAAACUCUGUUGUUAAAGAAGAACAUAUCUGAGAGUAACUGUUCAGGUAUUGACGGUAUUUAACCAGAAAGCCACGGCUAACUACGUGCCAA
RNAcentral lists this ribosomal RNA (165 nucleotides) under uncultured bacterium. Its description in RNAcentral is "partial 16S rRNA". It matches the Rfam family "Bacterial small subunit ribosomal RNA", at positions 354 to 511 of the family's 1533-position model. The record is from RNAcentral.